RNAcentral lists this non-coding RNA (30 nucleotides) under Mus musculus (house mouse). The record is from RNAcentral. Lineage: Eukaryota; Metazoa; Chordata; Mammalia; Rodentia; Muridae.
UAGACUACCAUGACUGUCUGCUUAGAACGG